AGUAGUAUAUGUAAGGGACUUGAGUCAAUCCACUAAUUUUCAAUUGAUUUGAAGUUGGAAGCCCAAUAAACUUAUCAAAACUUUAAAUCUUUCAUAUUAACUCAAAUCAAUCAAUACAUAUUUUCGCUCAUGCUUCAAUCUCAAUCUUCAUAAAGGAUGGAUUGUCGAACUCCAUGUUCAUGGAAGAUCAUAAACUUGAACCACAUGCUGUAUAAAUUUAUAAUGCAACUGUGACGCAGAG
This 241-nucleotide long non-coding RNA is filed under the name Brassica rapa (field mustard). Its description in RNAcentral is "long non-coding RNA (BRAP_LNC005288)". The record is from RNAcentral. Lineage: Eukaryota; Viridiplantae; Streptophyta; Magnoliopsida; Brassicales; Brassicaceae.